This 2064-nucleotide long non-coding RNA is filed under the name Capsicum annuum. RNAcentral's name for it is "long non-coding RNA (CANN_LNC019398)". The record is from RNAcentral. Lineage: Eukaryota; Viridiplantae; Streptophyta; Magnoliopsida; Solanales; Solanaceae.
GUAUACCAGCUCUAUAUUGCUGUAUACCAGCACCCGAUUCUACUGCGUUUUUUCUGUAAACACAUAAUAUACGUGUGUGAAAUCAAUCCUGUAUGUUAGCUUCCAAAAUCUGCAUACUUGCAUCCCUUUCCUAUUUUUCACUCUAUAUCAAUGGUAUAGCAUUGUAUACUUGAUGUAUACUGCUGAGAAUCAGUCUUUUUGAGAAUUUUGGCAUGACGUUGGACUAGAACUUGGACUUGAGCCAAAAAGAAUGCGUGGUAUGGAGUCAAAUUAGACUCGGAUGAGUUCACAUGUAUCAAAAAAGAAAAAGACAAAGAAUUAAUGUGUGGCCAAAGAGAGUCAAAAGCAUACAACAAUAAACACUUAUAUGCAUAUCAAAAUUAAAUAAAUCAUGUAGCACUCAUAGAUAGAUUAAUCAAUUAACCUUUAACCAGAAAAUGUUCCACUAUGAACAAAACUAUAACUUAACAUAUUUACAAUAAACAUGCUCGCAACUAACCUACACACAUAACAUAAGACCCGUUCAAGAUAAUUGAUUGUACAUAUAUGAGACCAUGAACUAACGUUCAAACAACAACUAUUUCUUUCUCUUAUUAAAAAAACAGAACUAAGGAAAAAACAAACCUCACCAAGAUUCCAUAAAUUUGGACCAAAUUCAAGGUAAAGUUGUAAACUUUGGGCAAAAGAACAAACGAAAUAGACUAGAUACAAACACGGAUAGAAUAGUUUAACAAGAAGAACACACAUGUUUGAUUUUUUUAAGAACAAAAAAUAAACAACUAGUUGUCAAAUAUGGAAUUUCUUAAAGAGUCCUAUAGUUAUAAAUAGAAAGUUUUGCAAGCCAGUUUCAAACAAAGCAAAGUGUAUGAUAAUUCAAAACAUAUGUAAGUCUUAUUACAUUCUAUUUAUCCACCAGAAGAGUAUUUAACGAAUAGGAAGGUCAUAGUAGAUAAAAGAGAGGUUUGGUGAAUUUCAACACAUCCAAAAAAAAAAAGGGGUUUGAUCUAAUCACAUAUACACAGAAUCCAAGUAAAUUAUAAGGAACUAAAGUAAAUUAGAGAUCAACCUAAGAUCAAAAAUUAAGUAGACGAAAAUCGAGUGGAGAUCUUAACAUGAUAGUGCAAAAUAUUAGUCGAACCAUACCAAAUAUACGAUCAUAACUGAAUCAAUAAGUUUAUAAUAUUUGGAGGUCAAAACGACAAACUAUCAAAAUCACAUAUACGCUGAAUUAAGCAUUCCAGGAAGAGCAAAGAAAAUGCAAACCAUCCAAAUACAUAGGCGACUGAAACGAAAAUAUGAAGGAGAAGAGAUUACCUUUUUUAGUGCAGCGAAUGAGACAACGAUCUUAUCACGACAAAGUUUCAACCAUCGAAACUCGAUUCACAUUUGUCGGAAUUCAACGAGUUUUCAGAUUUUGAUUUUUGUAAGAGUAUUCCUUUUUGAAUUUUUUAUUACAUGAAAUUAGAGAAAUGCUCCUACAAAAUUCUUUAAAAAAAAUUCAAAAAUCCUCUCAUUAACCUUCAACUGAUAUUAUCUAUUUAUAGAGGAGAUUGGAGAUGUUUUGGGAGAAAACAUAGGGGUAAACAUGUAAAAUCAAUUAAAAAAAUUUCAAUUUCAAAAUUGGAUAAGAAUAGAACUUUUAGAGCAAUGAAAUCGAUGUGAACUUGGACCAAGUCAAGGCCAAGUUCAUUAGAAAAAUUGGUGGUGAAAUUCACACAGCUAUGUACCACAAUGGUACGAUCUGAGAUGAAUACCACCAGAUAUCAUGGUAGACAAACGUUGGAUGAUCGAUGAGGUGGAUUCAACAGAAUCCAAAGGGGUCUGAUGGGAUUUUGAUGAAUUUCGGGUGUUGGGCCGUCAUUUCAUCAAUUAAAGGGUGUCGUUUGUUCGCUGCUAAAUAGAGAUAUCAUUGCCGUUGAAUAUUGUUGUUAUUGUUCACAUUUGGGAGAGAAAGAGUCAGAGUGAGAUAAAGAGAAAGAAAAAGGGGAGAUGUACAUGUGUGUAGUGUAUAUGUAUGUAUAGUUGUGUGUAUAUGUAUUCUCUUAUUAUAUAAGAUAGAGUUAG